AUCGACCUAGAUCCCCUAUAGCACCUUAUCGAUCUAAGACUCCUCUGUGGAGGUUUCAUUACUUCACUCUGCUUAAUACUUCCUAAGCUCAGAUACUAAUGGAGAUAGAGCGACAGAAAGAGCUCCUCCAGUCAAAGAGGAUGCUCACUCUAGCACGAGCAAGAAAUCUAAAGAAGUACUGUAGGUACUAUUAUGAUCGCAGACAUGAUAUGGAGGAAUGUUGAUAGCUCAAGAAGGAGUAGAGGUGCUCAUCCGACGUAGAUGCCUUCGAUGCUAUAUUGAUGAACGGCGUAUCCCAGGGAACCUACGCGAUGAGUCUCCUCAGCAAGAAGAUCCUUAAAGAAACCAACCAAUAGAAGGGAAGAUCCGUAUGACCUCCGGGUGCCAGCUCGGCUAUGGUACCUUCAAGCCGAGCUGAGCUGAAGAUAAGGAGUCAAAGAAUAGAAAGAUCGAUGAUGAAGUCACCUUCUCUGGAGCU
This 478-nucleotide long non-coding RNA is filed under the name Elaeis guineensis (African oil palm). Its description in RNAcentral is "long non-coding RNA (EGUI_LNC024943)". Lineage: Eukaryota; Viridiplantae; Streptophyta; Magnoliopsida; Arecales; Arecaceae. The record is from RNAcentral.